ACCAAUAAAAACAACCCAAGACCCAAAUGAGAUGAACAUAGGAUUGACAAAGGAUUGUGAUAUCAGACUGCGACCAAGUGCCGAAAGAGUUCAAGGAAAAAGAAACUUAACAUCCCCAUCUUCAGUGAAAAAAGAACUUUUUUGAUGAACAAUUUUGUUGUCAGUCUGGGGUGAGAGUUAAUGAUCAGGCUGCUGAUGUUUACAGGAGAUUUUGUGUUUCGUCAAACCGGAAGAUUCCCAUUUUUACAGCUCCUGCCAAGAGACCUUUGAUUGUACGUCUUCUUA
Long non-coding RNA from Fundulus heteroclitus (mummichog), 285 nucleotides. RefSeq lists it as uncharacterized. Lineage: Eukaryota; Metazoa; Chordata; Actinopteri; Cyprinodontiformes; Fundulidae. The transcript has 2 exons. The record is from RefSeq and is a predicted model, not a curated record.